Molecule: ribosomal RNA, 271 nt
Filed under: uncultured prokaryote
Description: partial 16S ribosomal RNA
Rfam family: Bacterial small subunit ribosomal RNA
Source: RNAcentral
UACGGAGGGUGCAAGCGUUAUCCGGAAUCACUGGGCGUAAAGGGCGCCUAGGUGGUCUGUUAAGUCUGGCGUUAAAGCCUGGGGCUCAACCCCAGAUCAGCGUUGGAUACUGGCAGGCUAGACGGUUGGAGAGGCGAGUGGAAUUACCAGUGUAGCGGUGGAAUGCGUAGAUACUGGUAGGAACACCCAUUGCGAAGGCAGCUCGCUGGACAACACGUGACACUGAGGCGCGAAAGUGUGGGGAGCAAACCGGAUUAGAUACCCCGGUAGU